GCUAAUGAGCGCAAAGAAGCCGCGGUAAAAAGAAUGUGGCGGCGUUUAACCGGAAUGAUUGGGCGUAAAGGGGACCUAGGCGGCCAAUCAAGUCAGGGGUGAAAACUUACGGCGCAACCGGGAGCCUGCCCUUGAAACUGAGGGGCUGGAGUGCCGGAGAGGUGGGCGGAACUACACGAGUAGAGGUGAAAUUCGUAGAUAUGUGUAGGAAUGCCGAUGAUGAAGAUAGCUCACUGGACGGCAACUGACGCUGAAGUGCGAAAGCUAGGGGAGCAAACAGGAUUAGAUACCCCAGUAGUC
Molecule: ribosomal RNA, 300 nt
Filed under: uncultured Thermotoga sp.
Lineage: Bacteria; Thermotogati; Thermotogota; Thermotogae; Thermotogales; Thermotogaceae
Description: bacterial SSU rRNA
Rfam family: Bacterial small subunit ribosomal RNA
Source: RNAcentral